RNAcentral lists this ribosomal RNA (399 nucleotides) under uncultured bacterium. RNAcentral's name for it is "bacterial SSU rRNA". It matches the Rfam family "Bacterial small subunit ribosomal RNA", at positions 30 to 431 of the family's 1533-position model. The record is from RNAcentral.
AUUGAACGCUGGCGGCAUGCCUUACACAUGCAAGUCGAACGGCAGCGCGGGGCAACCUGGCGGCGAGUGGCGAACGGGUGAGUAAUAUAUCGGAACAUACCCUAGAGUGGGGGAUAACGUAGCGAAAGUUACGCUAAUACCGCAUACGCACUAAGGUGGAAAGUGGGGGAUCUUCGGACCUCAUGCUCAUGGAGUGGCCGAUAUCUGAUUAGCUAGUUGGUGAGGUAAAGGCUCACCAAGGCGACGAUCAGUAGCUGGUUUGAGAGAACGACCAGCCACACUGGAACUGAGACACGGUCCAGACUCCUACGGAGGCAGCAGUGGGGAAUUUUGGACAAUGGGGGCAACCCUGAUCCAGCAAUGCCGCGUGAGUGAAGAAGGCCUUCGGGUUGUUAAAGC